RNAcentral lists this long non-coding RNA (820 nucleotides) under Gallus gallus (chicken). Its description in RNAcentral is "long non-coding RNA NONGGAT002571". The record is from RNAcentral. Lineage: Eukaryota; Metazoa; Chordata; Aves; Galliformes; Phasianidae.
GAGCCAGGUUCGAAGUGGAUGCCGUGGCUGAACAUCACGGCUCACUCAGCCGCCCAACAGAGACCAUCUGGAUCUGGUUCUGUUCGUCCACCUGAGACUGCCAUUCACAAGAUGGAUCUUGCAGACUUCAGCACAUCUACAGCAUCGGGAACACCAAACGAUGAUGGCCAGAAGGUCGAUAUGUGCCCUCUGAGGAAACACCUUCAAGCAGAACCUCACUUUCUGAUCUUCCUGAAGUCUCAGAAUCCAGAUUACGCACCAUCCCUAUGCGGAAUCAGGACAACCUCCCUCUGAGAAUUCAGAGCCUGCAGGAUGCUUAGUAGGACAUGCCUGGAAUUACACAGAUUAUGCCUCCUUGCAUGGGAGAAGUAGAAAAGUCACAGCAUGGGUUAAAAAUACGCUUGUCUUCUCUCAAUAAUUAAUUGUUUAGGGAUUAACAUGAGGUUUUGUGUUUUGAAAGUAAACUAAUCCACUCGUUGGCUGGUGUGUAAUGAAGGAGAACAGGCUACUGUCAAGCAGGCUGAAAACAGUGAAAAUUAACUACAAGUGCCACGACUCACAUAUUUUAUGUAUAUGAGUAAUGUAUUCUCUGUGGGACAGAAGAUGAAAAUAUCACACAGAAAAGAAAAACACAGUGGCUACAAAUUUAAUAAAACAAGCAGUCAUACUUAGCCUCGCAGUAUAGUCUGGCAUUUUUACUGCCCGAUGGUAUCAAGGUUGGGCCAGUGCAAGAGAAUUCAUGCUCGUGAACUCACAAGAAGCACAAACUUCACUUUCUGCAGCCUCUCUGCUUGCAGAGCUAGCAAAAGGGAAGGAAAAU